RNAcentral lists this ribosomal RNA (776 nucleotides) under uncultured Neocallimastigales. Its description in RNAcentral is "partial large subunit ribosomal RNA". It matches the Rfam family "Eukaryotic large subunit ribosomal RNA", at positions 20 to 627 of the family's 3401-position model. Lineage: Eukaryota; Fungi; Neocallimastigomycota; Neocallimastigomycetes; Neocallimastigales. The record is from RNAcentral.
UACUAGAGUAGCACUCGCAUAUCAAUAAGCGGAGGAAAAGAAACUAACAAGGAUUCCCCUAGUAACGGCGAGUGAAGCGGGAAGAGCUCAAAUUUGAAAUCUUAAAGGGUUUCCCUUUACGAAUUGUAGUUUAAAGAAGUGUUUUCUGUUGAGGUUUUGGUAAAAGUUCUUUGGAAUAGGACAUCAUAGAGGGUGAGAAUCCCGUAUUUGACCUUUACUUUCAACUUUGUGAUACACUUUCAAAGAGUCGGAUUGUUUGGGAAUGCAGUCCAAAAUGGGUGAUAAAUUUCAUCUAAAGCUAAAUAUUGGCGAGAGACCGAUAGCGAACAAGUACCGUGAGGGAAGAGAUGAAAAGAACUUUGAAAAGAGAGUUAAACAGUACGUGAAAUUGUCAAAAGGGAAGCGUUUGACACCAGUGUUGUUUUUCUGAAAAUCAAUUAAAGAACUGUUUAUGCUAAGCUGUUUAGACUUUAUCAGCUAAUCUGUUUAGUUUUGAGCUUUUCUUUAAUGCACUUUUCAGUUAACAAGUCAACAUCAAUUUCUUUUGCUGUAAAAAAGCUUGAGGAAGGUGGCUUGAGAUUCGUCUCAAGUGUUUAUAGCCUCUUGCCUAUGCAGUCGGAGAGAUUGAGGUCUGCAGCGUAGAUCCUUCGGGGCUAAAUGCAUUUGUGCUAAGUUAUAGCAUUUUAUAGACAACUUGUUGACUAUGAUUUGUCUUGUAGCUUACUCGCUUAUGUUAUUUUACCUACGCUUAGGAUGUUGAACUCUAUCACACACAG